This 496-nucleotide ribosomal RNA is filed under the name uncultured bacterium. RNAcentral describes it as "partial 16S ribosomal RNA". It matches the Rfam family "Bacterial small subunit ribosomal RNA", at positions 28 to 507 of the family's 1533-position model. The record is from RNAcentral.
GAUGAACGCUGGCGGCGUGCCUAAUACAUGCAAGUCGAGCGAACAGACGAGGAGCUUGCUCCUCUGACGUUUGCGGCGGACGGGUGAGUAACACGUGCAUAACCUACUUAUUAGACUGGGAUAACUUCGGGAAACCGGAGCUACUACCGCAUAAUAUAUUGUACGGCAUGGUUCAAUAGUGCAUCACGGUUUUGCUGUCUCUAUGGUACGAUUCGCGCCGCAUUAGCUAGGUGGUUAGGUAACGGCCUAGCAAGGCAACGAUGCGUAGCCGACCUGAGAGGGUGAUCGGCCACACUGGAACUGAGACACGGUCCAGACUCCUACGGGAGGCAGCAGUAGGGAAUCUUCCGCAAUGGGCGAAAGCCUGACGGAGCAACACCGCGUGAGUGAUGAAGGUCUUCGGAUCGUAAAGCGCUGUUGUUAGGAAAGAACAAAAGUUUAUGUAACCAUGCACGUCUUGACGGUACCUAAUGAAAAAGCCACGGCUAACUACGUG